UUGAUCUCAAAUCAGGUAGGACUACCCGCUGAACUUAAGCAUAUCAAUAAGCGGAGGAAAAGAAACUAACAAGGAUUCCCCUAGUAACUGCGAGUGAAGCGGGAAGAGCUCAAAUUUAAAAUCUGGUGUGCCUCUGGUCACCCGAGUUGUAGUCUGGAGAAGCGUUUUCCGUGUUGGACCGUGUACAAGUCCCUUGGAACAGGGCGUCAUAGAGGGUGAGAAUCCCGUCUUUGACACGGACUACCAAUGCUUUGUGAUGCGCUCUCAAAGAGUCGAGUUGUUUGGGAAUGCAGCUCAAAAUGGGUGGUAAAUUCCAUCUAAAGCUAAAUAUAGGCGAGAGACCGAUAGCGAACAAGUACCGUGAGGGAAAGAUGAAA
This 377-nucleotide ribosomal RNA is filed under the name uncultured Thelephoraceae. Its description in RNAcentral is "eukaryotic LSU rRNA". It matches the Rfam family "Eukaryotic large subunit ribosomal RNA", at positions 1 to 369 of the family's 3401-position model. Lineage: Eukaryota; Fungi; Basidiomycota; Agaricomycetes; Thelephorales; Thelephoraceae. The record is from RNAcentral.